GAAUACCUAUGUCUAACUCUCUCGGUUUUGGAAAUGUGAAUUGGGAGAUUGUUAGUUUGUUUGUGGGAAUUGUGUAAAAGUUAAAUAUAAUCUAGUUACCCAUUUGGAUAUCCAAAUGGGUACCAAAAGUAUCCUUAAUCCAAAGAGUUCUCGUCGGUUAUGGUUGCUACUUAAUCAACUUUCGUAUAGAUAUAAUAAGAAUAUAUUGAAUAUUGACUUAGAUUUAUUUAAUGAGAUUACUCAUUAUUUUAGAAAUAAAUUCGUUGACUCAGAAAAACCGAAUAUAAAAAUCGAUUUAUCAAUGCCUAGUAAAUUUCGCUUUAAAACAGACGACGUUAUUCAUGCACUAAAGACUCGUAACAAAUUCUAAAAAGGCCCAGAUGGUGUCCAAUGUAUUUAUUAUCAAAAAGUUAUUUCAUGUGAUAUCAAUCAUUUCUGCUUUUUAGAACGUUAGAAAAGUGUUCCUGCCCUAAAGUGUAGACUCACUCGUAUCUUAUUCCUAUACUUAAAAAAUCUAUAGAUACGUGUGACGCUUCAUCAUAUCGGCCUUUAAGUAUAUCUAAUUCUAUGCUUAAACUAAUUGAGAAGAAAAUGAUUCUCAUAUAUUUAGAAUUCAACAUCAAAAACAAUAUAAGUACAUCACUACGCAUCUAAAUAUCGAUCCAACACUUCUAAUUAAAUUGAAUUCACAUCUCAGUUUAAGUAUCUAAACAGUUUUCAUGUAAGUAUCUAAACAUGCUUCGAACAUGCUUUAUGCUUUGAGUUCAGCACGAAAAGAAUUUAUUUCAGUAUUAAGUAUUUUAAUAUCAUCAGCAUAUCCGAUGACUUCAGAAUUAGAAACAGAAAAAACGGGAUUGAUAU
This 861-nucleotide long non-coding RNA is filed under the name Androctonus crassicauda. Lineage: Eukaryota; Metazoa; Arthropoda; Arachnida; Scorpiones; Buthidae. The record is from RNAcentral.